RNAcentral lists this ribosomal RNA (1101 nucleotides) under uncultured bacterium. RNAcentral describes it as "bacterial SSU rRNA". It matches the Rfam family "Bacterial small subunit ribosomal RNA", at positions 244 to 1366 of the family's 1533-position model. The record is from RNAcentral.
GAUAGUUGGCGGGGUAACGCCCCACCAAGUCGACGAUCGGUAGCCGGACUGAGAGGUUGAACGGCCACAUUGGGACUGAGACACGGCCCAGACUCCUACGGGAGGCAGCAGUGAGGGAUAUUGGUCAAUGGGGGAAACCCUGAACCAGCAACGCCGCGUGAGGGAAGACGGUUUUCGGAUUGUAAACCUCUGUCCUCUGUGAAGAUAGUGACGGUAGCAGAGGAGGAAGCUCCGGCUAACUACGUGCCAGCAGCCGCGGUAAUACGUAGGGAGCGAGCGUUGUCCGGAUUUACUGGGUGUAAAGGGUGCGUAGGCGGCUCUGCAAGUCAGAAGUGAAAUCCAUGGGCUUAACUCAUGAACUGCUUUUGAAACUGUAGAGCUUGAGUGAAGUAGAGGUAGGCGGAAUUCCCGGUGUAGCGGUGAAAUGCGUAGAGAUCGGGAGGAACACCAGUGGCGAAGGCGGCCUACUGGGCUUUAACUGACGCUGAGGCACGAAAGCAUGGGUAGCAAACAGGAUUAGAUACCCUGGUAGUCCAUGCCGUAAACGAUGAUUAUUAGGUGUGGGGGGUCUGACCCCCUCCGUGCCGGAGUUAACACAAUAAGUAAUCCACCUGGGGAGUACGACCGCAAGGUUGAAACUCAAAGGAAUUGACGGGGGCCCGCACAAGCAGUGGAGUAUGUGGAUUAAUUCGAAGCAACGCGAAGAACCUUACCAGGUCUUGACAUCCAACUAACGAAGCAGAGAUGCAUUAGGUGCCCUUCGGGGAAAGUUGAGACAGGUGGUGCAUGGUUGUCGUCAGCUCGUGUCGUGAGAUGUUGGGUUAAGUCCCGCAACGAGCGCAACCCUUACUGUUAGUUGCUACGCAAGAGCACUCUAGCAGGACUGCCGUUGACAAAACGGAGGAAGGUGGGGAGGACGUCAAAUCAUCAUGCCCCUUAUGCCCUGGGCCUCACACGUACUACAAUGGCCAUUAACAGAGGGAAGCAAGCCCGCGAGGUGGAGCAAAACCCUAAAAAUGGUCUCAGUUCGGAUCGUAGGCUGAAACCCGCCUGCGUGAAGUUGGAAUUGCUAGUAAUCGCGGAUCAGCAUGCCGCGGUGAA